Theobroma cacao (cacao) is the source of this 429-nucleotide non-coding RNA. The record is from RefSeq and is a predicted model, not a curated record. NCBI's taxonomy places the organism in Eukaryota, Viridiplantae, Streptophyta, Magnoliopsida, Malvales, Malvaceae.
CUAGCUAUAUCCUAUAAAUAGGAUGUGCUUCUAUUGUGUAAGAGCCAGUUCAUGAUAUGUUGAACGCUUGAAGUGGAGGUGCCUGCAAUUUGAUCUUUGCUGGUAUAUAUCGAGGGAAAGAUUAUUUCUGCAAGUCUGAGCAGUACCCAAGGCACAUUAUGGCACUCUCUUUCAUGGAAACCAUGGCACGGCAUAUUGUGAUUAAAUUCUUUGAACAAUAUAUAUCAACAGGCUGCGUAAUUUUAUUAGAGGAAGAAGGCACAGUUCUCACUUUCACAGGAAGCUUGGAAAAGUGUUCUCUCAAAGUCGUUCUGAAAGUGCACAAUCCCCAGUUUUACUGGAAGAUUAUGACAGAAGCUGAUUUAGGCCUUGCAGAUGCAUAUAUCCAAGGAGAUUUUUCGUUCGAAGAUAAAGAAGAAGGUCUUCUGA